GGGAACAUCAUCAGUGUAUAUGGCGAUGGGAAGAGCUGGAGCUGCUGCACAGUUCCUUGCCGCUCCGAAGAUCCUGUGUGCUCAGCCGUCUGGACUCGUCUGUUAAAGUCGCCUGUGUCUGCGUGCUGCAGAUCUGCCUGUUUCCCCAUAAGAGGCUAACAUCAUUCCAGAAAUGAAACCAGG
Molecule: long non-coding RNA, 183 nt
Organism: Fundulus heteroclitus (mummichog)
Lineage: Eukaryota; Metazoa; Chordata; Actinopteri; Cyprinodontiformes; Fundulidae
Exons: 3
Source: RefSeq, a predicted model, not a curated record